Long non-coding RNA from Camelus dromedarius (Arabian camel), 872 nucleotides. RefSeq lists it as uncharacterized. The transcript has 3 exons. The record is from RefSeq and is a predicted model, not a curated record. NCBI's taxonomy places the organism in Eukaryota, Metazoa, Chordata, Mammalia, Artiodactyla, Camelidae.
CCUUGAUUCCACUCCUUCAGUUCAGCAACUAUUUACCCUGGAGAAACAGAUAAUCCAGAGCUGACAAUGCAACAGGCUUCAGUGGAAGACAUUUUGCCAAGUCCUUUAACUGUGCCCUGAAAUUAACACACCAAUCCAAAAUCCAGUUCCUGCAAGUAACUUCUCCAGGAAGAGCUACAGCGAUGGGGCAGAUACUGAGAACCUUUGCUCUACAGACAUAUUUUCAUAGCUACGUGUCGCUAGUCAAGCACGCGCAUUUGGAUAUUCACCCGGGACACACGGGCACCAUCAGUGCACCUGCAUCCUCCAGUCUGUCCCGCGUGUGCUCAUCGACUGGUUCAGUGAAAAAACUGUCCCCAGAUUUGAGGUUAAUGAAGGAAGCGAAAAGACUGACAUUCAUCUGAUUAAAGCAAAAAUUCCAAAAAUACACAGUUUGUUUUAUAUGUAUACAUACAUAGUUAUAGAUUUCAUAUGUGAAAACAUGCAGGAGAAGACAUGAAUCUUCGAAAUCAAGUAUACAGAUACACAGGAAGACGUAUAUGUGUAUGCAGACAGGUAGGUCUGAAAUACUGGAUAAAAAUCACAGUAUUGUUUGAUGUUACACUCACCAGUGAAUAUGUUGCAAUAGAGAUGAUACAUUAUCUAGUUGGUUUGUAAAUGAAUAAUAGUUUUAGAAAACUAAGAUGACUUAAGAACCAGCUGGGCCCACAUAACUAUCUCUGUUAAACAAUUCGAUGUAUUCUAUUUGGAGACAUUUUUGUGAAUAAAAAGUUCAUUUAUAAAAUUUCUUUAAGUGAAUAAUUGGGAUUAGUUGGAAAUCAUUUCCAUGAAUUCUCCUAUUAAAUAUGAAGCGAUCAUUUCACCAGCCCAGA